CCAGGAAAAGGUCAAGAGUUAAAGGAGUACUGGCAGUGGUGCAGCAGUUCCCAGCUUGCUCCUUAACUUGAUUCUAUCUCCUGCUGCUCUGAGGGGAUUCCCUGGACAGAUUUUGGACGUGGUUCUCUGCUUGCUGUGCCAGGAGUUGCUGAUAGCUGCUGUGCAUUGCUGAGCAGAUUCUACUGUUCCAUUGCUGCAAUCUCCCUUCUUCUGACAUCUUCACGCAGUAUGAUGCUUUUCCCAGGCACUUCAGUCAGAGCAAUUACACAUAUUAAAUGUCUGUGUAUUAUUUUUACUGCAGCAUGUUAAUGAACAAAUAAAAACUGC
Molecule: long non-coding RNA, 327 nt
Filed under: Phasianus colchicus (ring-necked pheasant)
Lineage: Eukaryota; Metazoa; Chordata; Aves; Galliformes; Phasianidae
Description: lncRNA (ENSPCLG00000004066.1)
Source: RNAcentral